CCUACGGGAGGCAGCAGUGAGGAAUAUUGGUCAAUGGGCGCGAGCCUGAACCAGCCAAGUCGCGUGAGGGAAGACGGUCCUAUGGAUUGUAAACCUCUUUUGUCGGGGAGCAAAAGACGCCACGCGUGGCGUUCCGAGAGUACCCGAAGAAAAAGCAUCGGCUAACUCCGUGCCAGCAGCCGCGGUAAUACGGAGGAUGCGAGCGUUAUCCGGAUUUAUUGGGGUUAAAGGGUGCGCAGGCGGAAGAUCAAGUCAGCGGUAAAAUUGAGAGGCUCAACCUCUUCGAGCCGUUGAAACUGGUUGUCUUGAGUGAGCGAGAAGUAUGCGGAAUGCGCGGUGUAGCAGUGAAAUGCAUAGAUAUCACGCAGAACUCCGAUUGCGAAGGCAGCAUACCGGCGCUCAACUGACGCUCAUGCACGAAAGUGUGGGUAUCGAACAGGAUUAGAUACCCCUGUAGUC
This 459-nucleotide ribosomal RNA is filed under the name uncultured bacterium. RNAcentral's name for it is "partial 16S ribosomal RNA". It matches the Rfam family "Bacterial small subunit ribosomal RNA", at positions 338 to 795 of the family's 1533-position model. The record is from RNAcentral.